GAGCCCGACAGAAGAAGGAAGACUGAGAUACUCAGGAGGAGAGGAGGAGAGGGAAGAGAGAGCCCCAGGGUUGGAGGUGUCAGCCGGACCCCUCCACAUCCUCUUUCUCUCUGGCGAGGGGAGUGGGCUCUUCACUGUGUGGAGAAAUGUCAGUCUUCCCCAUCGUUUGUCUUCCAUCUCACAUCCUGGAGUGGGACAAGUCCGUGCCCCUCACUGGGCCUCUCUCCUCUCCUUCUGGGCUGCAGAUUAUGAUGCCAGGACAGGUGUGCGGCCCUUCAGGCUCAGCCCCUGACUCAGAAAUCAGCCAAGGAACUGCGGAAACACAGAGGCAGAAAGGUGAUGUCAUCCUGUUCAGCAGCCUGUCUCAGGGCAAGAACGUGUGCCACAACCCAGCUGAGCCCCAGGACUUAACAGAAGGAGAGAUUCCACCCUUCCACAACCCUCUCUGGCUCACUCCUUCCCAUGGCCCGCAUUUCUCCAGGGAAGUCCUUCCUGAGGGCUAACUUAAGUGC
Molecule: long non-coding RNA, 512 nt
Filed under: Equus asinus (donkey)
Lineage: Eukaryota; Metazoa; Chordata; Mammalia; Perissodactyla; Equidae
Description: lncRNA (ENSEASG00005032943.1)
Source: RNAcentral